Molecule: ribosomal RNA, 606 nt
Filed under: uncultured bacterium
Lineage: Bacteria
Description: bacterial SSU rRNA
Rfam family: Bacterial small subunit ribosomal RNA (bases 1-517)
Source: RNAcentral
CCUACGGGAGGCAGCAGUGGGGAAUCUUGCGCAAUGGGCGAAAGCCUGACGCAGCCAUGCCGCGUGAAUGAUGAAGGUCUUAGGAUUGUAAAAUUCUUUCACCGGGGACGAUAAUGACGGUACCCGGAGAAGAAGCCCCGGCUAACUUCGUGCCAGCAGCCGCGGUAAUACGAAGGGGGCUAGCGUUGCUCGGAAUUACUGGGCGUAAAGGGAGCGUAGGCGGAUAGUUUAGUCAGAGGUGAAAGCCCAGGGCUCAACCUUGGAAUUGCCCUUGAUACUGGCUAUCUUGAGUACGGAAGAGGUAUGUGGAACUCCGAGUGUAGAGGUGAAAUUCGUAGAUAUUCGGAAGAACACCAGUGGCGAAGGCGACAUACUGGUCCGUUACUGACGCUGAGGCUCGAAAGCGUGGGGAGCAAACAGGAUUAGAUACCCUGGUAGUCCACGCUGUAAACGAUGAGUGCUAGUUGUCGGCAUGCAUGCAUGUCGGUGACGCAGCUACGCAUAAGUACACUCCGCCGUCGGGGAGGUACGGUCGCGAAGAAUUAAACUACAAUAGAAGUUAGACGGCGUGAGACGUGCCGACGGACGACGACGAGGGAGGUUAGG